RNAcentral lists this ribosomal RNA (186 nucleotides) under uncultured Enterobacter sp. RNAcentral describes it as "partial 16S ribosomal RNA". It matches the Rfam family "Bacterial small subunit ribosomal RNA", at positions 355 to 534 of the family's 1533-position model. The record is from RNAcentral. Lineage: Bacteria; Pseudomonadati; Pseudomonadota; Gammaproteobacteria; Enterobacterales; Enterobacteriaceae.
UGGGGAAUAUUGCACAAUGGGGGAAACCCUGAUGCAGCAACGCCGCGUGUAUGAAGAAGGCCUUCGGGUUGUAAAGUACUUUCAGCGGGGAGGAAGGUGCUGAGGUUAAUAACCUCAGCAAUUGACGUUACCCGCAGAAGAAGCACCGGCUAACUCCGUGCCAGCAGCCGCGGUAAUACGUAGGUG